RNAcentral lists this unclassified non-coding RNA (312 nucleotides) under plant metagenome. RNAcentral's name for it is "partial contains 5.8S ribosomal RNA, internal transcribed spacer 2, and large subunit ribosomal RNA". The stretch from base 1 to 105 matches the Rfam family "5.8S ribosomal RNA", at positions 50 to 154 of the family's 154-position model. The record is from RNAcentral.
GAAAUGCGAUAAGUAGUGUGAAUUGCAGAAUUCCGUGAAUCAUCGAAUCUUUGAACGCACAUUGCGCCCUCUGGCAUUCCGGGGGGGAUGCCUGUCCGAGCGUCAUUACGCACCCUCAAGCCCGGCUUGUGUGAUGGGCCCCGGCGUCUCGUUCGCGAGACGGGCCCGAAAGGCAGCGGCGGCGUCGACCCGAUGAGCCCGAGCGUAUGGGGACUUCUGUCACACGUUCGCGGUGCGGACCGGCGCCUGCUUGACUUUUCUGAUUAUCCAGGUUGACCUCGGAUCAGGUAGGGAUACCCGCUGAACUUAAGC